AAGGAAAACACUUUUUUCUCUUUGCUUCUUUGAAGCCACAAAGUGCUUUGAGCAGUGCCUGGCAAAAAGUAAGCUCUAUAUAAGUCCUAAAUUCUAAAUAAAUGCCAAGUUGUUGUUAGGGUUAUUAUUGGCAAUGGUUUUUCUUCUACCUCUGAAUACUUCUCAGUCUCCUUCCUCUAACUGAUCUCUAAUUUUGGAAUCCCUCAGAUUUUGACUAGUGGAGAAGAUUUUAUCUAUCACUGUAGCCUUAAAUUAAAACAAAACAAAAAAAAACCCUUGUAUUCACAGCCACCAACCUAAAAUCAAGCCCAGACUUUACCCCAGUCCCUCAAACUCCUCUACUUACUGAUUUCAUAUUUUUAUUUGAAUGUUUCAGCCACAUUUUAAGUCAUAUAUAUAUAUAUAUAUGUAUAUAUAUAUAUAUAUAUAUAUAUGUAUAUAUAUAUAUAUAUAUAUAUAUGUAUAUAUAUAUAUAUAUAUAUAUAUAUAAUCCUACUCCUUUCCCCAAAUCUCUUCUUCUUGUCUUGUCUUAGAUCUCAUUGGCUAGAACUUACGAAUAAUAAUUCAUUCCCUGGAGUUGAAUGCAUUGCCACCCAAACAAAACUGGGUUUCUUUUAGCAAGGAAGAAGAUAUUACAAGUAUGAGGUAGGCACUGUGUGCCACAACUAAGUUCCUGUGCAAGCUAGUGGUAGUGUAGUUUGAGUGAGUGUCAGUUCCUGCCAGCUUCCCCUUCACAGUUUUCCCCUCCCCAGGGUUCUCUUUGUAUGAUCUUUGGCCUCCUUUUGGUUCCUGAAAUAUACCAAUUUCUUUCCUGACUCCUGGCCCUUUGCAUUUGAUGUUCCUUUCACCUGCAUAUCUUUUCAUUUGAAAGUCUUGGCUAGUGGUCAUGCUUCUCUUUUAAGGUCUUAGGUCAAAUGUUGUCAUACCCUUGGGGAGCCAAGCUAGCCACUAAAUCUAAGCCAGAUUCUCAUUUGCUCUCUCUAACCUGUAACCUUCUAUCUCAUCACUUUGGAUAUUUCCUUCUUGCCCUUCAUAAUACUUUUUCUAUUUAUUCUCACUUGUUAAUUAUUAAGUUUCUUCCUACAGUAAAAUGUAAGCUCAUGAGCAUAGUUUGCUUCUUAUUCACCUUUGUACCUAAAUUGUUCAGAACAGUGCCUGGGACAUAGUAGGUGUUCAAUGAAUAUGCCGUGAAUAAAUGGAUGGAAAUAGGAGUAAAUAGAUGGAUAUGAAUAUAAAAAUAAAAAAUGCAAGAUUAAAUAAAGACAGAAGAGAACCAAAAAAGAACACAAAGAUGUAUAUUUUUGGUAGGAGACAAAUACAUAUAAUCACAUAAGAAGUAACCUCAUCUUGAGCCAUUGCUGGCUUCAAAGCAUGCAUUUUAUGUCCCAAAACAGUAGACACACUUUUUAAAAUUUUACAAGUUUUCUUUGUUUAUAUGGUACUGGGAGUUAAACCCAGGGCCUUCUGCAUGCUAGGCAAGUGUUCUACCUCUGAGCAACAUCCCCAAACCCUAGGCCUGCC
Molecule: long non-coding RNA, 1521 nt
Filed under: Marmota monax (woodchuck)
Lineage: Eukaryota; Metazoa; Chordata; Mammalia; Rodentia; Sciuridae
Source: RNAcentral